GUGGGGAAUUUUGGACAAUGGGCGCAAGCCUGAUCCAGCAAUGCCGCGUGCAGGAAGAAGGCCUUCGGGUUGUAAACUGCUUUUGUACGGAACGAAACGGUCCUGGCUAAUAUCCGGGGCUAAUGACGGUACCGUAAGAAUAAGCACCGGCUAACUACGUGCCAGCAGCCGCGGGAAUACGUAGGGUGCGAGCGUUAAUCGGAAUUACUGGGCGUAAAGCGUGCGCAGGCGGUGCUGUAAGACAGGCGUGAAAUCCCCGGGCUCAACCUGGGAAUUGCGCUUGUGACUGCAGUGCUGGAGUGCGGCAGAGGGGGAUGGAAUUCCGCGUGUAGCAGUGAAAUGCGUAGAUAUGCGGAGGAACACCGAUGGCGAAGGCAAUCCCCUGGGCCUGCACUGACGCUCAUGCACGAAAGCGUGGGGAGCAAACAGGAUUAGAAACCCCAGUAGUCC
Molecule: ribosomal RNA, 450 nt
Filed under: uncultured bacterium
Lineage: Bacteria
Description: partial 16S ribosomal RNA
Rfam family: Bacterial small subunit ribosomal RNA
Source: RNAcentral